RNAcentral lists this transfer RNA (82 nucleotides) under Bacteroidales bacterium. RNAcentral describes it as "tRNA-Leu". It matches the Rfam family "tRNA". Rfam says of the family: Transfer RNA (tRNA) molecules are approximately 80 nucleotides in length. Their secondary structure includes four short double-helical elements and three loops (D, anti-codon, and T loops). Further hydrogen bonds mediate the characteristic L-shaped molecular structure. tRNAs have two regions of fundamental functional importance: the anti-codon, which is responsible for specific mRNA codon recognition, and the 3' end, to which the tRNAs corresponding amino acid is attached (by aminoacyl-tRNA synthetases). tRNAs cope with the degeneracy of the genetic code in two manners: having more than one tRNA (with a specific anti-codon) for a particular amino acid; and 'wobble' base-pairing, i.e. permitting non-standard base-pairing at the 3rd anti-codon position. The record is from RNAcentral. RNAcentral also lists the same sequence under 1 other name. Lineage: Bacteria; Pseudomonadati; Bacteroidota; Bacteroidia; Bacteroidales.
GCCCGAGUGGCGGAAUAGGUAGACGCGACGGUCUCAAAAACCGUUGAGGUAACUCGUGCCGGUUCGAUUCCGGCCUCGGGUA